This 524-nucleotide ribosomal RNA is filed under the name uncultured bacterium. RNAcentral describes it as "bacterial SSU rRNA". It matches the Rfam family "Bacterial small subunit ribosomal RNA", at positions 984 to 1509 of the family's 1533-position model. The record is from RNAcentral.
ACAUCCAGAGAACUUAGCAGAGAUGCUUGGUGCCUUCGGGAACUCUGAGACAGGUGCUGCAUGGCUGUCGUCAGCUCGUGUUGUGAAAUGUUGGGUUAAGUCCCGNAACGAGCGCAACCCUUAUCCUUUGUUGCCAGCGGCUCGGCCGGGAACUCAAAGGAGACUGCCGGUGAUAAACCGGAGGAAGGUGGGGAUGACGUCAAGUCAUCAUGGCCCUUACGGCCAGGGCUACACACGUGCUACAAUGGCGCAUACAAAGAGAAGCGACCUCGCGAGAGCAAGCGGACCUCAUAAAGUGCGUCGUAGUCCGGAUUGGAGUCUGCAACUCGACUCCAUGAAGUCGGAAUCGCUAGUAAUCGUAGAUCAGAAUGCUACGGUGAAUACGUUCCCGGGCCUUGUACACACCGCCCGUCACACCAUGGGAGUGGGUUGCAAAAGAAGUAGGUAGCUUAACCUCCGGGAGGGCGCUUACCACUUUGUGAUUCAUGACUGGGGUGAAGUCGUAACAAGGUAGGCGUAGACGU